Molecule: ribosomal RNA, 230 nt
Filed under: uncultured Alicycliphilus sp.
Lineage: Bacteria; Pseudomonadati; Pseudomonadota; Betaproteobacteria; Burkholderiales; Comamonadaceae
Description: partial 16S ribosomal RNA
Rfam family: Bacterial small subunit ribosomal RNA
Source: RNAcentral
AGAGAUGCACUGGGCUUAAAGCGUGCGCAGGCGGUUUUGUAAGACAGAGGUGAAAUCCCCGGGCUCAACCUGGGAACUGCCUUUGUGACUGCAAGGCUGGAGUGUGGCAGAGGGGGAUGGAAUUCCGCGUGUAGCAGUGAAAUGCGUAGAUAUGCGGAGGAACACCGAUGGCGAAGGCAAUCCCCUGGGCCUGCACUGACGCUCAUGCACGAAAGCGUGGGGAGCAAACA